UAAAUCACUGUGACUUGAGGUAACUCGAGGUAACUGGAGGUUCGAGGUUCCGAGGUUCGAGGUUCUAUCCCAGUUUUGAGCAAGUUUGUCUCAUUGGCACACAACAACCACGAGUUUGUUAACGCACCACCUUCAGGCUCUGGGCGACGAUUAAAUCCUUGGCCUUGACGCAGACGCUGCUUAUGGAUAGUUUUUACCAAGGAAACAAUUAACAGCAAGAGACGAAAAAAAACAACCACCAGCACCGAUUUACUUAAAACUUUAAAAAGUUUGUAUUUAAUUGACACUGAGUCUCCUGGUGUCGAUGGCAAAGGGUUCUGGGUCAUAACGAAGGCCAUCAACCAAACUUGGAAAUAACGAGGCCGACUUUCU
Molecule: long non-coding RNA, 372 nt
Organism: Cotesia glomerata
Lineage: Eukaryota; Metazoa; Arthropoda; Insecta; Hymenoptera; Braconidae
Exons: 3
Source: RefSeq, a predicted model, not a curated record